Molecule: long non-coding RNA, 1238 nt
Organism: Zingiber officinale
Lineage: Eukaryota; Viridiplantae; Streptophyta; Magnoliopsida; Zingiberales; Zingiberaceae
Exons: 2
Source: RefSeq, a predicted model, not a curated record
UCAUAAUGGCCGCUUAUGUCCUUUUUACUAUUUAAAUGCGAAGAAUGCAUGCUAAUUUAUUUGAGUUGGUAGUUUCAGAUUAUUCUGCAUUUUGUAAAUUUUCCUGUUCAUAUUAAAUGCUCCGUUAGAAGGGAAGCCUUGACGCAAUGGUAAAGUUGUUGCCAUAUGACCAAAAGGUCACAUGUUCGAAUCCUGGGAACAAUCUCUUGCAAAAAGCAGGGUAAGACUGCAUACAAUGGAUCCUUCCUGGACCCGCAUGACGGGAGCUUCGUGCACCAGGCUGCCCUUUUGUUAAAUGCUCCGUUAACUUGUUUUCCUUGGUUUGUGAUAUGCUAACACAUCCAACGUGGACACUUGUAAAGCAAACCAAGACCCAUAGAAAUAAAGAUCAUAUCUUAUUUCUUUUGUGCACAACCGGCAUGCUAGAAUGAGAUUUCCAUGCAAAUUCCAUAAGAUUCAGAUAGGCAGACACUCAUUUUCCGAAAAGGCAGACACUCAUUUUCCGAAAAAAAAGUUUACAAAUAGGACUUUUACUUGCAACUCUUAUCAUCUGAAACUAUCAAUACAUGAAUCAUUAAAAUGGUAUCAAGUAGAUCUAGGAUGCCAUUCAUUAUUUCCUUAUUUUAGAUUUGAUUAUGGUGAUCAGAGACCUACGAUUUAGAGAAGAAUAAAUGUGUGGAUCAAAAAUUGUUUUGACAAUUACCAUUGGUUGGCUACAUUGUUCAUUGCCAAUCGCAAUGCCUAUUUGCUCCACCGAGCACGCCCCUUUCUAGAAUGGCAGUGCCAUUUGCUGCAUUGAGUAUUCUCAAGGAUGUUAAGUGUCAACUUAUGAUAAUAAUUUUAGCCUGAUCUGGCAACUCAGAAUAUAUCGUAGCCAAAAGGGGAUGGGCUGAGUUUACCCCACAAAAUGAGCAAGGAAAGAGUACACCAUGAUGCAACAGAAUAUUGUUACUAGACUAUUUGAGCACUGCUGUUCUAAAAUUAAAAUGUUGAAAUUCAUGAGUAAUGCAGUUAUAUAGCGCUUUAAUUAUUAGUUACUGCCUUUGAUUCACUAGAUUUGUUAAACUGGCUUUCCUGAAACAUCAUCACGUCCCUGGCAUUUUGAUUAGGCUACACUUUGGACUAAAGUUGAUGAGUUGAUCAAGUGCUUUGGAGGGGAGUAAAAACUUCUUUUUUGCUUCCUCAGAAGUUGGAAUAGACAGAUUUGAUUUCUAGUAUUUACUUUUGCUCAUAAAUGA